RNAcentral lists this unclassified non-coding RNA (795 nucleotides) under Leishmania donovani. Its description in RNAcentral is "gene:LdHU3.36.9650(CDS-product:hypothetical_prote in_conserved)". Lineage: Eukaryota; Euglenozoa; Kinetoplastea; Trypanosomatida; Trypanosomatidae. The record is from RNAcentral.
CCGUGCAACGUGACUCUGCGAGCAUGUGCACCAGGUGGCAUUGAAAAAUGCGUUUCUCAAGGGCACUACUGCAAGGUAGUGCGGCGGUUUCUUCGAUGGGCGAGCUCUCUAUUCAUGCGUGCGUCGGUGUUAUUCAGAACCCUAGUCGCGGGGCUCUCCAGGGAGAACCGGAGUGGUCAUGCAAGCUGCUCUUGACGGAGUGCGGCAUCCCGGCGCGGUGGCCUCCAACUCUGCGCGCAGUUGCUUCGCAGCAGGUGUUUCACCUGCGGUGCCGAGGAGCGGCUAUGGCAGGAUACUGCUUCGCAAAUCUGAGAGAGGGGGAGCUCGUCCACGUUGUAUCUAAGCUCGUCCACAAACCUAGGUAUGUGCCUGUUCACGGCACCUACUUCACCACCACUGAGUUGCUAGUAACGGACUCACUAGGCUCCAUUGUAUCGGUCGCUCAACUAGUUUAAGGUGGAGUCGCGGCUCUUGUGGCUCGAGCGCGGUAGUGCUUCUGCUCUUUAGACAUUUUGGCGUUUUUGUAGCUCUGACAACAGAGUGUCGUUAAGGUCAAACCAAAAUUCCCGCGGAAGAGGGCAGUAGUUUUCGCCUUUGAAGGUGCGCUUUCCGCUGCGCUUCUGUACUUUUCUUCUAUGCCAGGGUCGCGUUUUUCGGCGCGAAGUCUCGCAGUGGCAGUUGGGGGGGGAGCUCGCCUGGUGCUGCUUGUGCCAUGCAGCUCUUUGUUUUCUCCUGAUUUCUCCUCCACCGUGCACUCUCUCUGCUCACAUCAAUUUUCUCCUUCGACGUUCGCAG